GCUUAUUUUAAUCAUCAGUUAAGGAAAAAUCUAAUUCAAGACACUACUAAUAUGGUUUUGAAAGGGAACAGUGACCAAUUUGUGGCUUUGAUACUGCAAAUUAUACUAUCUUGUUUUUCGCAAAAGGCAAUUUCACAUGUUGAGUCCGUUAUCUAACCUUGGCUACCUGGCGUAACACUGUGAUAUGCAGUCUGCAUAGGAUCUACCGGUGGAUUUUAUGUUGAAUUUCAAUUAUUGAUCAGGUUCUUGGCUCUUGGUACAGUUUCUUGUUGAGAAGUCCGGCAGCAAGGUAUUAUUUUUGACCUAGUCUGUUUGGAAAUUGAGUAAGCGAUGGGUGAAAUUUCGUUGUCAUUGGAGGAACUAUAACGGGUCGUAUUUUAUUUAUUCACUGGCAAAUUAUUGUUGUUAAAAACAAAAUAAUGCAGGAAGUUUUGAAUAUUGGUAAUCUUUGGCACAAAUAAAUUUGUUUUAUUUU
This is a long non-coding RNA of Dioscorea cayenensis subsp. rotundata (Guinea yam), 475 nucleotides long. RefSeq lists it as uncharacterized. Lineage: Eukaryota; Viridiplantae; Streptophyta; Magnoliopsida; Dioscoreales; Dioscoreaceae. The transcript is spliced from 3 exons. The record is from RefSeq and is a predicted model, not a curated record.